Molecule: RNase P RNA, 345 nt
Filed under: bovine gut metagenome
Description: Bacterial RNase P class A
Rfam family: Bacterial RNase P class A
About the family: Ribonuclease P (RNase P) is a ubiquitous endoribonuclease, found in archaea, bacteria and eukarya as well as chloroplasts and mitochondria.
Source: RNAcentral
GACGGAUCGCCGCGCUUCGGCGCGGAGGAAAGUCCGGACUCCACAGGGCGAGGCGCCCCGCCGCAGUGGCGGGGAGGGCGCGGGCAAACCGCGCCGAUGGAAAGUGCCACAGAAAGCAAACCGCCGCGGGCGAGUCCCGCGGCAAGGGUGAAACGGCGGUGCAAGAGACCACCGUGCGCCGCGGAAACGGGGCGCGCAAGGCAAACCCCGCCUGGAGCAAGACCGAACAGGAGCGCAUCGUGCUGCCCGCACGGGUUUCCCCGCAAGGGGCGGCGUUCCGGGUUGGUCGCGAAGAUGAAUGAUCCGAUCCGCCUUCGGGCGGGAACAGAAUCCGGCUUAUGAAGC